GGGGAAUAUUGCACAAUGGGCGCAAGCCUGAUGCAGCAACGCCGCGUGAGUGAAGAAGUAUUUCGGUAUGUAAAGCUCUAUCGGCAGGGAAGAAAGGCCCGAAAGGGAGAUGACGGUACCUGACUAAGAAGCCCCGGCUAACUACGUGCCAGCAGCCGCGGUAAUACGUAGGGGGCAAGCGUUAUCCGGAUUUACUGGGUGUAAAGGGAGCGCAGACGGCAGUGCAAGUCUGAUGUGAAAGCCCGGGGCUCAACCCCGGAACUGCAUUGGAAACUGCACAGCUGGAGUGUCGGAGAGGUAAGCGGAAUUCCUAGUGUAGCGGUGAAAUGCGUAGAUAUUAGGAGGAACACCGGUGGCGAAGGCGGCUUACUGGACGAUAACUGACGUUGAGGCUCGAAAGCGUGGGGAGCAGAC
This 414-nucleotide ribosomal RNA is filed under the name uncultured bacterium. RNAcentral's name for it is "bacterial SSU rRNA". It matches the Rfam family "Bacterial small subunit ribosomal RNA", at positions 356 to 773 of the family's 1533-position model. The record is from RNAcentral.